Molecule: ribosomal RNA, 473 nt
Filed under: Micrococcineae bacterium CL2.62
Lineage: Bacteria; Bacillati; Actinomycetota; Actinomycetes; Micrococcales
Description: bacterial SSU rRNA
Rfam family: Bacterial small subunit ribosomal RNA
Source: RNAcentral
UGAUCCCUGGCUCAGGAUGAACGCUGGCGGCGUGCUUAACACAUGCAAGUCGAACGAUGACCCGGUGCUUGCACCGGUGAUUAGUGGCGAACGGGUGAGUAACACGUGAGUAACCUGCCCUUAACUCUGGGAUAAGCCUGGGAAACUGGGUCUAAUACCGGAUAUGACUCCUCAUCGCAUGGUGGGGGGUGGAAAGCUUUAUUGUGGUUUUGGAUGGACUCGCGGCCUAUCAGCUUGUUGGUGAGGUAAUGGCUCACCAAGGCGACGACGGGUAGCCGGCCUGAGAGGGUGACCGGCCACACUGGGACUGAGACACGGCCCAGACUCCUACGGGAGGCAGCAGUGGGGAAUAUUGCACAAUGGGCGCAAGCCUGAUGCAGCGACGCCGCGUGAGGGAUGACGGCCUUCGGGUUGUAAACCUCUUUCAGUAGGGAAGAAGCGAAAGUGACGGUACCUGCAGAAGAAGCGCCGGC